This 459-nucleotide ribosomal RNA is filed under the name uncultured bacterium. RNAcentral describes it as "partial 16S ribosomal RNA". It matches the Rfam family "Bacterial small subunit ribosomal RNA", at positions 338 to 795 of the family's 1533-position model. The record is from RNAcentral.
CCUACGGGUGGCAGCAGUGAGGAAUAUUGGUGAAUGGGCGCGAGCCUGAACCAGCCAAGUCGCGUGAGGGAAGACGGUCCUAUGGAUUGUAAACCUCUUUUGUCGGGGAGCAAAAGGCGCCACGCGUGGCGUUCCGAGAGUACCCGAAGAAAAAGCAUCGGCUAACUCCGUGCCAGCAGCCGCGGUAAUACGGAGGAUGCGAGCGUUAUCCGGAUUUAUUGGGUUUAAAGGGUGCGGAGGAGGAAGAUUAAGUCAGCGGUAAAAUUGAGGGGCUCAACCCCGUCGAGCCGUUGAAACUGGUGUCCGUGAGUGGGCGAGAGGUAUGCGGAAUGCGUGGUGUAGCGGUGAAAUGCAUAGAUAUCACGCAGAACUCCGAUUGCGAAGGCAGCAUACCGGCGCUCUACUGACGCUCAGGCACGAAAGCGUGGGUAUCGAACAGGAUUAGAUACCCUUGUAGUC